UGCGGGAUCGUCUAGUGGUAGGACGGGUGACUCUGGAUCACUUAGCCCAGGUUCGAAUCCUGGUCCCGCAG
RNAcentral lists this transfer RNA (71 nucleotides) under PVC group bacterium. RNAcentral describes it as "tRNA-Gln". It matches the Rfam family "tRNA". Rfam says of the family: Transfer RNA (tRNA) molecules are approximately 80 nucleotides in length. Their secondary structure includes four short double-helical elements and three loops (D, anti-codon, and T loops). RNAcentral also lists the same sequence under 2 other names. The record is from RNAcentral. Lineage: Bacteria; Pseudomonadati.